This 1235-nucleotide ribosomal RNA is filed under the name metagenome. RNAcentral's name for it is "bacterial LSU rRNA". It matches the Rfam family "Bacterial large subunit ribosomal RNA", at positions 1564 to 2808 of the family's 2925-position model. The record is from RNAcentral.
UGAAUACGAGAUGCUACGGCAUCGAAGCAGUCUAUGUCAUACUUCCAAGAAAAGCUUGCACUGUCAUAAACAAAUAAUGCCUGUACCAUAACCGACACAGGUGGGUAGGUAGAGUAUACUAAGGGGCGCGAGAUAACUCUCUCUAAGGAACUCGGCAAAAUGACUCCGUAACUUCGGGAGAAGGAGUGCCUUAUUUUAUAAGGUUGCAAUAACAAGAUCCAAGCAACUGUUUACCAAAAACACAGGUCUCCGCUAAGUCGUAAGACGAUGUAUGGGGGCUGACGCCUGCCCAGUGCCAGAAGGUUAAAGAAGUUGGUUAGCAUUAGCGAAGCUGAUAACUGAAGCCCUGGUGAACGGCGGCCGUAACAAUAACGGUCCUAAGGUAGCGAAAUUCCUUGUCGGGUAAGUUCCGACCCGCACGAAAGGCGUAAUGAUUUGGAUACUGUCUCGGAGAGGGGCUCGGUGAAAUAGACUUGUCUGUGAAGAUGCGGACUACCUGCACCAGGACAGAAAGACCCUAUGAAGCUUUACUGUAACUUGAGAUUGAAAUUGGACUUUAUUUGCGCAGUAUAGGUGGGAGACGUUGAAAAUAUUCUUGCGGGAAUAUUGGAGUCAUCAGUGAGAUACCACUCUUAUAAUGUUAGAUUUCUAACUUUGUAUCAUUAUCUGGUCAAAGAACAGUCUCAGGCGGGCAGUUUGACUGGGGCGGUCGCCUCCCAAACGGUAACGGAGGCGCACAAAGGUUUCCUCUGAACGUGUAGAAAUCGUAUCUAGAGUGUAAAGGCAUAAGGAAGCUUGACUGUGAGACCUACAAGUCGAGCAGGGACGAAAGUCGGUCUUAGUGAUCUGACGGUGCUGAGUGGAAAGGCCGUCACUCAACGGAUAAAAGUUACUCUAGGAUAACAGGCUGAUCUCCCCCAAGAGUUCACAUCGACGGGGAGGUUUGGCACCUCGAUGUCGGCUCAUCGCAUCCUGGGGCGGUAGUACGUCCCAAGGGUUGGGCUGUUCACCCAUGAAAGCGGUACGCGAGCUGGGUUCAGAACGUCGUGAGACAGUUCGGUCCAUAUCCGGUGUAGGCGUUAGAAUAUUGAGAGGAGCCUUCUUUAGUACGAGAGGACCGAGAAGGACAUACCUCUGGUGUACCAGUUAUCGUGCCAACGGUAAACGCUGGGUAGCUAUGUAUGGAGAGGAUAACCGCUGAAAGCAUCUAAGUGGGAAGCCCACCUCAAGAUAAG